AGAGUUUGAUCAUGGCUCAGAUUAAACGCUGGCGGCAUGCCUUACACAUGCAAGUCGAACGGCAGCACGGGGGCAACCUUGGUGGCGAGUGGCGAACGGUGAGUAAAGCAUCGGAACGUGCCCUGGAGUGGGGGAUAACGUAGCGAAAGUUACGCUAAUACCGCAUAUUCUGUGAGCAGGAAAGCAGGGGAUCGCAAGACCUUGCGCUCUGGGAGCGGCCGAUGUCGGAUUAGCUAGUUGGUGGGGUAAAGGCCUACCAAGGCGACGAUCCGUAGCGGGUCUGAGAGGAUGAUCCGCCACACUGGGACUGAGACACGGCCCAGACUCCUACGGGAGGCAGCAGUGGGGAAUUUUGGACAAUGGGCGAAAGCCUGAUCCAGCCAUGCCGCGUGAGUGAAGAAGGCCUUCGGGUUGUAAAGCUCUUUCGGUGGGGAAGAAAUUGCAUAGGCUAAUACCCCGUGUAGAUGACGGUACCUGGAGAAGAAGCACCGGCUAACUACGUG
This 503-nucleotide ribosomal RNA is filed under the name uncultured bacterium. Its description in RNAcentral is "bacterial SSU rRNA". It matches the Rfam family "Bacterial small subunit ribosomal RNA", at positions 8 to 507 of the family's 1533-position model. The record is from RNAcentral.